UACUGUAUACAAUAAGAAAUCAUUUCCUAUUUCACCAAUGAUUGGUUCAUGUUUGCAGUAUUACAUUACUGUUUCAUUCCGCAAAAUCUGUACGGAAGACUUGAGGAUUUCUCCAAUGAACAAACUCUUUCAGAUUCUCAUUAUACAAAUUCCAUAAAAUUCAGCUGCUUCCACUUCUAUUGAUUUGAGAAUUAACCCUUCUGAAGGGAAUUUUUUUCAUGAAAGUAAUUUUUGAUUUUCAGUUUAUACUUAGUGAAUAAAAUUUCAAAUAAUCUGUAUGUAGGUUAAAGUCAUAUUGGCUAUUUGUGUAUGGUAACGUUGUAUUCAAAAUAAAUUCUUUUUUAUAUCA
Coccinella septempunctata (seven-spotted ladybird) is the source of this 349-nucleotide long non-coding RNA. RefSeq lists it as uncharacterized. The transcript has 2 exons. The record is from RefSeq and is a predicted model, not a curated record. NCBI's taxonomy places the organism in Eukaryota, Metazoa, Arthropoda, Insecta, Coleoptera, Coccinellidae.